CUGAGCAGCUCAAGGUCUCUGGUGA
This 25-nucleotide non-coding RNA is filed under the name Rattus norvegicus (Norway rat). Lineage: Eukaryota; Metazoa; Chordata; Mammalia; Rodentia; Muridae. The record is from RNAcentral.